RNAcentral lists this ribosomal RNA (468 nucleotides) under uncultured bacterium. RNAcentral's name for it is "partial 16S ribosomal RNA". It matches the Rfam family "Bacterial small subunit ribosomal RNA", at positions 28 to 507 of the family's 1533-position model. The record is from RNAcentral.
GACGAACGCUGGCGGCGUGCUUAACACAUGCAAGUCGAACGGAAAGGCCCUGCUUUUGUGGGGUUCUCGAGUGGCGAACGGGUGAGUAACACGUGAGUAACCUGCCCUUGACUGUGGGAUAACUUCAGGAAACUGGGGCUAAUACCGGAUAUGAGCUCCUGCUGCAUGGUGGGGGUUGGAAAGUUUCGGCGGUUGGGGAUGGACUCGCGGCUUAUCAGCUUGUUGGUGGGGUAGUGGCUUACCCAGGCUUUGACUGAUAGGCGGCCUGGGAGGGUGACCGGGCACAUUGGGCCUGAGAUACGGAGCAGACUCGUAUGGGAGGCAGCAGGGGGAAAUAUUGCACAAUGGGCGGACGCGUGUUGAGGCGACGCCGCGUGCGGGAUGACGGCCUUCGGGUUGUAAACCGAUUUCGCCUGUGACGAAGCGUGAGUGACGGUAAUGGGUAAAGAAGCACCGGCUAACUACGUG